AAACGAUUGAAGUCAGUCGUACCAGCGGACACGAAAGCGCUCCAUUUCACCAAGAGUUCACGCUUCGUCGACGGUUUUGAGGCUCGCCACGCCAUGUGACCUCUCGACGAGAGGGUUGAUUUCGCGCCAGCACGACUG
This 138-nucleotide ribosomal RNA is filed under the name Entrophospora lutea. RNAcentral describes it as "Claroideoglomus luteum ribosomal RNA". The record is from RNAcentral. Lineage: Eukaryota; Fungi; Glomeromycota; Glomeromycetes; Entrophosporales; Entrophosporaceae.